GGUACCACAGAUGUGAGACACCAAUCAUGGACUGUCAGGAUGGAGUACUACACAGGUCCAGCCUUGUUCCUUGGGAUGCUGAGGUACAUGGUUGCACAUGUCAUCUUCAAGACAGAAAGACAAGAUCCAGCUGUCAGUUUUUCCCAACAAGAAGAGAAGAGUUUAAAGUAAAAACAGUUAUGAAGCAAGAAUGCUAUAGGAAUAAUAAUAAAGAAAGACCAGUCAGAAUGAUGUUCAGACAUGGAUUCCUAAUGAAAUUAAAGAACAGAAGAUUACAAAUUAACAGCAAAUAUCUUACAAAGCAGUGUCCUUAUAACGACUAUGGCUGAAUUUCAAAGAUUGGGUAAUUAUGACCAUUAAUAUACAUUUCAUUUUAGAUGCUGAGAAAAAUUCCUCCUGUCACAAGAAAUGACAGUCCUAAUACCAGAUGAACACACUUGAUAUUUGUGUGCUUAAAAUAUAGCUAUUUUUCAGCAUAUUUUAAAAUAUGCUGUUCAUCAGUGUCAUUAAAGUACUAUCAUAGCUUUGUACUGUACGUAAGGACAGUUUCUAAGGCUAUCCAGUAUAAGAAGAGUUUAUUUUUGUUUACUUCAAUUAAGAUGUUUCUUCUAAAGAGCAACCAAGACAGGGAGACCUACAUAAAAGAGAUGUGUGAAUUAUUUAAGGCUAUUAUACCAAAUUAGGGAUUUUUAAUGUCAGAGAAAUUUUUUGGAUGCUUUGAUUGCAUUCAUCUUAGUCUCUUUUGUAUGCAUUGAAUAUGGAAG
Molecule: long non-coding RNA, 764 nt
Filed under: Parus major (Great Tit)
Lineage: Eukaryota; Metazoa; Chordata; Aves; Passeriformes; Paridae
Description: lncRNA (ENSPMJG00000011621.1)
Source: RNAcentral